This is an unclassified non-coding RNA of Nomascus leucogenys (northern white-cheeked gibbon), 110 nucleotides long. It matches the Rfam family "Y RNA". Rfam says of the family: Y RNAs are components of the Ro ribonucleoprotein particle (Ro RNP), in association with Ro60 and La proteins. The Y RNAs and Ro60 and La proteins are well conserved, but the function of the Ro RNP is not known. In humans the RNA component can be one of four small RNAs -- hY1, hY3, hY4 and hY5. NCBI's taxonomy places the organism in Eukaryota, Metazoa, Chordata, Mammalia, Primates, Hylobatidae. The record is from Ensembl.
GGCAGGCCUGAUGGCGGUGAGUUAUCUCAGUUGAUUGUUCACAGUCAUUUACAAAUCAAAUUCCUCGUUCUACUCUUCUCCCACUUUCACCGCCUCAUUUCUUGCUUUUU